AGGGCAUACGGUGGAUGCCUAGGCACCAGAUGGCGAUGAAGGACGUGGUUAACUGCGAAAAGUCUCGGGGAGCUGUAAGCGAGCAUAUAUCCGAGGAUAUCCGAAUGGGGCAACCCGGUCAGGAAAAGCCUGAUCAUCUAACGUAAGUUAGAGGCGAACGCGAGGAAUUGAAACAUCUAAGUACUCGCAGGAAGAGAAAGUAAUAACGAUUUUCUAAGUAGCGGCGAGCGAACAGGAAAGAGCCUAAACCUCGAAUAAUCGGGGGGUAGUGGGACUACAACAAAUUGAAGCUAUUUAUAGUCGAACCUAAUUGGAAAAUUAGACCUAAGAAGGUGAAAGUCCUGUAGGCGAAAUAGAUAGUGUAGGUUAGAAGAAUCCCGAGUAGUCCGGGACACGAGAAAUCCUGGAUGAAUCCGCGUGGACCAUCACGUAAGGCUAAAUACACGCUGGUGACCGAUAGUGAAACAGUACCGUGAGGGAAAGGUGAAAAGUACCCCGUGAGGGGAGUGAAAUAGAACCUGAAACCGUGUGCGUACAAGCAGUGGGAGCUUGAAUUUUCGUAAUUUGAGUGACCGCGUACCUUUUGUAUAAUGGGUCAGCGACUUACUUCUCAGUUGCAAGGUUAACCAGUAGGGGAGCCGUAGGGAAACCGAGUCUUAAAUGGGCGAUUAGUAGCUGGGAGUAGACCCGAAACCGGGUGAUCUAUCCAUGGCCAGGGUGAAGGUUAGGUAAAACUAACUGGAGGCCCGAACCCACUUAUGUUGAAAAAUGAGGGGAUGAGCUGUGGAUAGGGGUGAAAGGCCAAACAAACCUGGAGAUAGCUGGUUCUCUUCGAAAUAUAUUUAGGUAUAGCCUUAUAAGUUUCUUGCCGGAGGUAGAGCACUGGAUGGGCUAGGGGUCUCACCAGAUUACCAAACCUAACCAAACUCCGAAUACCGGUAAGUCAGAUCAUAGGAGUCAGCCCGCGGGAGCUAAGUUCCGCGGACGAGAGGGAAACAACCCAGACCGCCAGCUAAGGUCCCCAAAUCUAUGCUAAGUGGGGAAGGAUGUGGGAAUGCCCAGACAACCAGGAGGUUGGCUUAGAAGCAGCCAUCCUUUAAAGAAAGCGUAAUAGCUCACUGGUCUAGUGGUUCUGCGCCGAAGAUGUAACGGGGCUAAGCAUGGUACCGAAGCCACGGCCGAGCACCUAAAGUGUUAGGUGCUCGGGGUAGGGGAGCGUUCUCCUAAGGGAUGAAGGUAUGCCGUGAGGUAUGCUGGACUAAGGAGAAGUGAAAAUGCUGGCAUGAGUAACGAUAAAACGGGUGAGAAACCCGUUCGCCGUAAACCCAAGGUUUCCUGGGUAAAGCUAAUCUGCCCAGGGUUAGUCGGCCCCUAAGGCGAGGCCGAAAGGCGUAGCUGAUGGGAAACAGGUUAAUAUUCCUGUACCUGCUGGGUAGUCGUUUGAGCGAAGGGGGGACGCAGAAGGGUAGGUCAGCCACCUGUUGGAAUAGGUGGUUCAAGCCUGUAGGCUGGGGACUCAGGCAAAUCCGGGUCCCUGAUAAGGCUGAGAGGUGAUGACGAGUCAAUAAAGACGGAAGUGACUGAGCCCAUGCUGCCGAGAAAAGCCUCUAAGCGAGACUACUUGGUAGACCGUACCGCAAACCGACACAGGUGGGUGGGGUGAGUAACCCAAGGCGCUUGAGAGAACUCUGGCUAAGGAACUCGGCAAAAUGACCCCGUAACUUCGGGAGAAGGGGUGCUCUCUUGGGUGAAGGGAUUUACUUCUGGAGCCUGGGAGAGCCGCAGAGAAAUGGCGGGGGCGACUGUUUACUAAAAACACAGGUCUCUGCUAAGUCGUAAGACGAAGUAUAGGGACUGACGCCUGCCCGGUGCCGGAAGGUUAAGGGGAUCAGUUAGCCUUCGGGCGAAGCUGUGAACCGAAGCCCCGGUAAACGGCGGCCGUAACUAUAACGGUCCUAAGGUAGCGAAAUUCCUUGUCGGGUAAGUUCCGACCUGCACGAAUGGCGUAACGAUCUCCGCGCUGUCUCGGCCAGAGACUCAGUGAAAUUGAAAUCUCGGUGAAGAUGCCGAGUACCCGCAGCAAGACGGAAAGACCCUGUGCACCUUUACUACAGCUUGACAUUGGACUUUGGGCUAUCAUGUGUAGGAUAGGUGGGAGGCUGUGAAGCCGGUACGCCAGUAUCGGUGGAGCCGUCCUUGAAAUACCACCCUUGGUAGUCUAGGGUUCUAACCCAGAGCCGUGAAACCGGUCUGGGGACAGUGUCUGGUGGGUAGUUUGACUGGGGCGGUCGCCUCCCAAAGAGUAACGGAGGCGUGCAAAGGUUCCCUCAGGCUGAUUGGAAACCAGCCGUUGAGUGCAAAGGCAUAAGGGAGCUUGACUGUGAGAGAGACAUCUCGAGCAGGGACGAAAGUCGGCCUUAGUGAUCCGGUGGUUCCGCAUGGAAGGGCCAUCGCUCAUCGGAUAAAAGGUACGCCGGGGAUAACAGGCUGAUCGCGUCCAAGAGUUCACAUCGACGACGCGGUUUGGCACCUCGAUGUCGGCUCAUCACAUCCUGGGGCUGGAGCAGGUCCCAAGGGUACGGCUGUUCGCCGUUUAAAGUGGUACGCGAGCUGGGUUUAAAACGUCGUGAGACAGUUUGGUCCCUAUCUGCUGUGGGCGUAGGAGACUUGAGAGGGCCUGCCCCUAGUACGAGAGGACCGGGGUGGACGAUCCUCUGGUGGACCUGUUGUCGCGCCAGCGGCACAGCAGGGUAGCUAUGAUCGGAAGGGAUAACCGCUGAAGGCAUCUAAGCGGGAAGCCUGCCUCAAGAUAAGGUCUCCCUCUGAGCACCUAAAUCAGGUGCUUGGCUGAAGGACCCUGGAAGACGACCAGGUAGAUAGGCCGGAAGUGUAAGUGCAGUGAUGCAUUUAGCUGACCGGUACUAAUAGUCCGUGAGUCUUAACC
This 2944-nucleotide ribosomal RNA is filed under the name metagenome. RNAcentral describes it as "bacterial LSU rRNA". It matches the Rfam family "Bacterial large subunit ribosomal RNA". The record is from RNAcentral.